RNAcentral lists this transfer RNA (72 nucleotides) under Trialeurodes vaporariorum (greenhouse whitefly). RNAcentral's name for it is "tRNA-Glu for anticodon CUC". It matches the Rfam family "tRNA". From Rfam's summary of the family: Transfer RNA (tRNA) molecules are approximately 80 nucleotides in length. Their secondary structure includes four short double-helical elements and three loops (D, anti-codon, and T loops). The record is from RNAcentral. Lineage: Eukaryota; Metazoa; Arthropoda; Insecta; Hemiptera; Aleyrodidae.
GGCAGUGUAGCCUAGUGGUAAAGUGCUGGAUUCUCAGUCGGGAAGUCGUGGGUUCGAACCCCACCACCGGCA